GACGAACGCUGGCGGCGUGCCUAAUACAUGCAAGUAGAACGCUGAAGAGAGGAGCUUGCUCUUCUUGGAUGAGUUGCGAACGGGUGAGUAACGCGUAGGUAACCUGCCUUGUAGCGGGGGAUAACUAUUGGAAACGAUAGCUAAUACCGCAUAACAAUGGAUGACACAUGUCAUUUAUUUGAAAGGGGCAAUUGCUCCAUUACAAGAUGGACCUGCGUUGUAUUAGCUAGUAGGUGAGGUAAUGGCUCACCUAGGCGACGAUACAUAGCCGACCUGAGAGGGUGAUCGGCCACACUGGGACUGAGACACGGCCCAGACUCCUACGGGAGGCAGCAGUAGGGAAUCUUCGGCAAUGGGGGCAACCCUGACCGAGCAACGCCGCGUGAGUGCAGAAGGUUUUCGGAUCGUAAAGCUCUGUUGUAAGUCAAGAACGGGUGUGAGAGUGGAAAGUUCACACUGUGACGGUAGCUUACCAGAAAGGGACGGCUAACUACGUG
RNAcentral lists this ribosomal RNA (497 nucleotides) under uncultured bacterium. RNAcentral's name for it is "partial 16S ribosomal RNA". It matches the Rfam family "Bacterial small subunit ribosomal RNA", at positions 28 to 507 of the family's 1533-position model. The record is from RNAcentral.